GACUAUAUGUUGAUAUGUUUGUAAUAUGGAAGUGGGGUGAGGUGACUAUACAUGUCAUAAGUGAUGAUGCAUUAAUAAUUAAAAUAUCAUAUCACUUUUUUAUUUUAGUUAUUCAUCGAUAAUUAAUGAAUUAAAGUAGGAGGUAAAACUUGACUGCAACAAUUUUAAAACUUCGUAGGAGGUAAAACUUGACUGCAACAAUUUUAAAAGUUCGAAUAAGAAGUUGCUAUAAAUUAAAGUUCAAGAAAUAAAGCGUCACAUGUACCAUAGUUUUACGACCAAAAUUGUGAUUUAGCCUUUUUUUUUUUAGUUAAUUUCAUACAGGUUCUUACAAAUAUAAUGAAUUACAAAUAUAUUCCUAUAAAGUUCAACUUUCAUAUGUUGUCCCUAUUAAAAUCUUGAUGUUUUCUAAUAUGUCCUUGCCGUUACGAUCCAUUAGAAAAAAUUAGCUAAUUAUAGGUAAAAUAUUUAAUUCUAGUUAGUUAAUGAGGUGAAUUGACCUUUUUAACCCUUUUUAAUUAAUAGUUGGGAUUUUUGGAGGGACAUAUUUGUAAUGAUAAAAAGGUCAUUUCACUUAUAUAAUAAACAGUGUUUUAACGGUAACAAAAUAGAGAGACAUAUUUAAAAAUAUUAGGACUUUUAUAAGGACAACAUAUGAAAGCUGAACUUUGCAUGAAUAUAUUUAUAAUUUAUUAUAUUUGUAGGGACAUGUAUGAAAUUAACCUUUUUUUUUUU
RNAcentral lists this long non-coding RNA (735 nucleotides) under Ananas comosus (pineapple). RNAcentral describes it as "long non-coding RNA (ACOM_LNC019578)". Lineage: Eukaryota; Viridiplantae; Streptophyta; Magnoliopsida; Poales; Bromeliaceae. The record is from RNAcentral.